CGGCGCGGAACUUCCUGAGCAGCGAGAGCACCUGGAGCGGGCCCGCGGCGGUGGGGAGAGGAGUGAUCUCACCCUGAACCCGCUGAAAGGGGAUGCAGCCCAGCUUACAGCGAAGUGCGCGGCCCCCUCUCCACAGAGAAAUGAGCCCUUUUUUAAAAAAAAAAAAGGUUGGGGGAGGAAUAAAUAAGCCAGUAAAUAAACAAGCAAACAAACAUUAAGGACCAGAGAGGAAGUUAAAGAAGGUAAAGGGUUUUCUCUUUCCUGUCUCUUCCUGGUGACUUGGGCUCCCAGAACCUCGCUAGAGAGAGGCACGCGGAGUGCACGGGCGCGCGCCCUAUGGCCAGCAAUUACUUCCAAAACCCAUGCUGGUCUCUCCUCUCCCUCGUCUCGGGCACAGGCAAUGUUGCUAAGAAAAGGGGGGAAAGUGGGGCACAGGCUUCGAAGGGGCGACACGAGAAGGGGAGCGUCCGCUGGCUCGCUGUCCGACCUCUCCCCGGCAUCCUUGGGCGAAUCGGAGAGGCGGGCGCGGCGCGGGGCGAAGUUUGUCCACCCGCACUUCUCCGCGGGCUGCGAGGAGAGGAGGUGCGGAGGGGAGAGCUGGGAUCCCGAGGCCGCGAGGAUAACUGAGCCGGCGCCGCGCUUACCUCGCAGUCCUCGUACUUGAUAUUAUCCGUCAGUUUCCAAAGCAUUUUCAUGGAUCGGCGUGAACUGAUUGGCCCCCUCUCUGCCUCGCACCCAAGUGCAGCUACUCGCGGGGUAAGCGCAAAGUGCCGGCUGUGACGCUCUUUACCCACAGCCUAAUCGCCUCAUUAGCAUAUCAACAAUAAUCCAAUUGCUCGCCAGCUCGACUAUCUGCCUCCGAACCAGGUAUAAAGGCCUCUUGGAGCCGCCAACUUGCUCCCGGAGCGCACGCCCCGCCAGUGAGCCCUGGAGAUCUCCCGAGCCCCGCCUCGCGCCCCUGCCCGUCCCCCCACCCCCAGUCCUCCCCAGUCCCCCACUCCGUCCCCUCCUAGAGGGAGCAGCCCGGCGCAGGGGCCAGGCUCUCAGCGCCGCUCCCCCACCUCUGCUGCUAAUAACGGCGCUGUCCUUCCGGCCCCCUCCCAUUUUAUUAGAAAUUACCCUUUUCGCAAUUAAACAUAGCCACCACACCAAGAUCAGCGAAGUCACGCCAGGAUUUUUGCCCAAGAAAAGAUCGCCUCCGCCGGGGCAGCCACCACCUCGGGCCGCAGAGCGCUGGGAGUUUUAUUGGCUUUGUGCUUCACCCCCAGGUUGGAGGUUUUGCCAAACGGCCUCCGUCGCUCGGCUGGGGUUUGCGAUUCUUUAAUUGCCGCGUGUAAAAUAAAAAUUGUACCCUGAAGAGGUUCCUUGACAGCUCCAGGAG
Myotis lucifugus (little brown bat) is the source of this 1381-nucleotide long non-coding RNA. RefSeq lists it as uncharacterized. The record is from RefSeq and is a predicted model, not a curated record. Lineage: Eukaryota; Metazoa; Chordata; Mammalia; Chiroptera; Vespertilionidae. The transcript is spliced from 2 exons.